Molecule: ribosomal RNA, 510 nt
Filed under: uncultured bacterium
Lineage: Bacteria
Description: bacterial SSU rRNA
Rfam family: Bacterial small subunit ribosomal RNA
Source: RNAcentral
AUGGCUCAGGAUGAACGCUAGCUACAGGCUAACACAUGCAAGUCGAGGGGCAGCAUGGGAUUAGCUUGCUAAUCCUGAUGGCGACCGGCGCACGGGUGAGUAACGCGUAUCCAACCUUCCCUAUAGUAGCGGAUAGCCCGGCGAAAGUCGGAUUAAUACGCUAUGUUGUAUUUAGAGGACAUCUGAAGAAUACCAAAGGUUUACCGCUAUAGGAUGGGGAUGCGUCUGAUUAGGUUGUUGGCGGGGUAACGGCCCACCAAGCCAUCGAUCAGUAGGGGUUCUGAGAGGAAGGUCCCCCACAUUGGAACUGAGACACGGUCCAAACUCCUACGGGAGGCAGCAGUGAGGAAUAUUGGUCAAUGGGCGAGAGCCUGAACCAGCCCAAGUAGCGUGCAGGAUGACGGCCCUAUGGGUUGUAAACUGCUUUUAUCGGGGGAUAAAGUGCGGGACGUGUCCCGUUUUGUAGGUACCCGAUGAAUAAGGACCGGCUAAUUCCGUGCCAGCCGCCGC